AGUGAACGCUGGCGGUAGGCCUAACACAUGCAAGUCGAACGGCAGCACAGUAAGAGCUUGCUCUUCCGGGAGGCGAGUGGCGGACGGGUGAGGAAUACAUCGGCAUCUACUUUUUCGUGGGGGAUAACGUAGGGAAACUUACGCUAAUACCGCAUACGACCUACGGGUGAAAGCAGAGGAUCUUCGGACCUUGCGCGACUGAAUGAGCCGCUGUCGGAUUAGCUAGUUGGCGGGGUAAAGGCCCACCAAGGCGACGAUCCGUAGCUGGUCUGAGAGGAUGAUCAGCCGCACUGGAACUGGGACACGGUCCAGAGUCCUACGGGAGGCAGCAGUGGGGAAUAUUGGACAAUGGGCGCAAGCCUGAUCCAGCCAGACCGCGUGGGUGAAGAAGGCCUUCGGGUUGUAAAGCCCUUUUGUUGGGAAAGAAAAGCAGCAGGUUAAUACCCCGCUGUUCUGACGGUACCCAAAGAAUAAGCACCGGCUAACUUCGUG
RNAcentral lists this ribosomal RNA (492 nucleotides) under uncultured bacterium. RNAcentral's name for it is "partial 16S ribosomal RNA". It matches the Rfam family "Bacterial small subunit ribosomal RNA", at positions 29 to 507 of the family's 1533-position model. The record is from RNAcentral.